Lolium rigidum is the source of this 3316-nucleotide long non-coding RNA. RefSeq lists it as uncharacterized. The record is from RefSeq and is a predicted model, not a curated record. The transcript is spliced from 12 exons. NCBI's taxonomy places the organism in Eukaryota, Viridiplantae, Streptophyta, Magnoliopsida, Poales, Poaceae.
GUUGCGGCGGCAGGUGGGAGGAGGCACUGCAGGAGCGUCCCGCGGGAGGGAGGCUACACGGAGGGUGUUGGUGGUAAUCGAGUGGAGUCCACGGCAUCGGCGCGGCGCGCUACCACGAAAAAAUCGUCCGCCGCUACUGGGGCUCGAGAUCUCCGGCUGGAGGAUAGGAGGAGGAUGCACGAGCCCGGGAGUCAGCGACGCCUCGCAGUUCCAGCCGGCGGUAGGUGACACCGUCCUCCUCCUUCCUCGCGCUGGAAGGCGGCGGAACAGCCAUCCGUGGAGAUCGAGCGCGUGGAAGGCCGACGGCUCGGGAGUGGGUACGACAUCAUCUUUCUUCCAUGGUUUCGCCUUUCUCCUCUCUUCUGAUGUGGGUUGGCCACAUGCCGUUCUUGCGCCGGUGAUGCUGUCGUUGAAGGCCUGGUUCAAGUGGAAGGAUUUAGGAGGGUUGGAGGUGAGCGCCCAUCUCCUUGGCUAUUGGUGACAUUUAGCUGAUAGGGAACACACUUGUUGGGCAGGUCGCCGGCUCACAGCCAAGCUCGAGUUCAUGGUAGGUGACCUGGCUCUGCUGCUAAGCCCCCUCCUCUUUCUGGACUGGCAUGAUCUGUUCUCCUGUAUUUGGAUUUGAGGUGAAGAUUUUUAUCUCUGCUGCUGCUUUCGGGGUUGUGCAGGAUUGGAUACAGCAUGGUCAAUCUCUACUUUUUUUUCCAUGUCCAUCAUGUUGUUUUAAAAUUAUUGCCACAUUUGCCUUGCAAUUAAGUCAAAACUAAGAAAGAACAUUUGUGUAGAAAAGUUAAAUUCCACUUGAUGGUGAAAAUUUCAGAAAAAAUCGCAUCUACUUAUUUGUUAUUAUGUCCACGGGAAAUGAUUUUUUAUGCCUCCAUGGCGAGUGUCAGUGGAUACAUCUGCUCGCCGGCGCUCCAUGGUGAGCGGAAGUGGUGGCAUUAUGUCAUUUGCGUUUCAGAUUAUCAGGCUGAAGAAGCUACAGAAUCAGCUUUUAAGGAUGGAAAACGACUAUUGGUGAGUGACUUGAGCAUUAAUCUAAUUAUUUAGUUGCAUUUAAUGUUCUUCCUUUUAUUUCAAUGAUUUUCUAUGCAAUAUAUGACAUGAACUAAAGUUUCCUACAACAGGACUACCAUCUGUACUAGGUUGUUAUUUGUCAGGUGAAAAGGUUCUUGUUUGUUUCUGUUCAGCUGAUGGCGAGGGUGCAAUUGAGAUGACAAGAACAUGCUUCUCAUUACAGAAUUUUGUGAUCACUUUGUACCUACAGAGAAAGCGACCCAGACAAAAAAGCAGAGGGUUUGCUGCAGCACUGCUGGACGUCGAGAUAGUUUUAGUUUGGCUGGUUCAGACCUGAUCCAUUGCCUCCUUCAUGCUCCAGACUAAGCUCUUCAUCAAGCAGAUAUGAUGCCAUUGGCCAGCAUGACGUUCCAGUACCUUAUGGGUGAGGAAAGGUGAUAUAAAGAUCUAUCCAGAUGAUGGCAUUCGAAGGAGGCCGGGUGUCCCAACCACAACGAGAGGAGGAGGAUGCCGUGCGGUGGGAUUGAGGCCAUUCCCCCUUUGAUUUCUUGAUCCCCAGUCUGCUUUAAUUUGGGUCCUGUUUUUAGGUUUGAUUGUUGGUGCUGUGGGUUGGUUACCACAUCAACAUGGUUGCUUCCUCGUGGGAACUAUCGAGCACCACCACGCCUCCCUCCCAUCAAGCACCACUAAGGCAGCAAGAAUUUGGGGGAGAAAAAGUAACCUUCAUGAGCUUCUGAAGUGUUACAUUGAUAUAGCUGAUGAUGAUGGGAGAAAAAGUAACGUCAAACGUCCCUCGGACUUAAUGCAACCAGAUAAUAUGGAGCGACACAAUUUCCACAGGCACAUCUUGGGGAGAGACGCCUGCCACAGCUUGGGGAGAGACGCCCACAUCGAUCUACUACAAGCUUGCUCGAUGCCAAUGUUGUUUAGGAUGAAACAGUUGGCUUCUAAAAUGGCAAGCAACUUGUUGAUGCAAUUUUGCAAUGGGUUAAUUUCUGAAGGAUGCUAGAGAAUACUUGGUUCGAUACUACAUGAUGGACAAGAUGAAGGAUGUAGCGCAGCUGAAGGUCUGGUGGAUUUACUGGAUACAUUGCUUGUUUGGGCAAUACUGGUAAAACAUAUCUUGGAGAGAUUCCAUCUGAUGCAUGUGUUGUUGAUCAGACUACCAUGGUAUAUCUCUUCAUUUCUACCAUGGACAGAUAUGUAAUGGAAGAUAUAUUCUUGUUUUACUCACUACUUUCGUAUGUGCUACUAGAUGGCUUACACCCUUCUUUCAGAGAUAUAUGAAGGGGACAAAUGGUAGGAUUUUGUGUGCUAUGUGCUUAGUUUGUACUCCACCCGAGAUUAAAGUGCAGAGGCUGCUGUCCCUUGAAUAAUGUAUGACACGAUGCAAUACAAACCACUAUCGCUGAGAGCUCCGUUCCAUGGUGGGCUAUGUCAAAAUGAUCAUGCUCUUUGGGAAUGAGACACGGGCUGGUGACACAUUGCAAAGAAGUUUGUUCUCUAAAGCCUUUUGAAUGAGGGAACUCGGCCAUUUCUACUUAUCAUUUUGUCAAGGGAUCAGCAAUGAAAUUGGCAAUUACGCCAAGAUAGAGGCACAUAAGAAGAUGGCUUUUGGGAUCCUCCAGACCGGCGGUGGUGACUGCGAUGGCGCAUCGACGAGCUUGAUGAGAUGGCGCAUCAACAGGAAAAAAGUCAUGGGGACUCCCACUGUUCAUGAGGGGUUGCGUGAUACGGCCAUGGGGCAGCGACGGUCCACACAUCAAACGUAUCCGGGCUGUGCGCACAGAUGAUGUUGAGCCUCCGUGACCUCUAGGACCCAAGCAAGGCCAGCAGUGAUAGACGUGAACGCCAGGAUCAUUGCGGUGUCGCCUUUUGGUGAGGUGGUGGCCGCAAGUUGGAGCAAGCUCAUGCGAGCUGGGUGGUGCUAGAUGACACUAGCUUAUUUUCUUUGGUGUUCUUGGUGGUCUCCAAUAAUGCCCAGCGAGUUCGUUGUUAUCUAGGCAUAUGUAUUUGAUCUCCCUCUACUGCCGCAUAUCUCACCCUACCUGAUGCAAGUAGAAGAGACGAAGCACAAAUACAGAUUAUACAAGGUGUGUUGCUCUCGGACGUUUGAUGAAAUGAUUGUAAUAUAUUACUAAACAGCAGAGCUCUCUGGCUCUGCAUAUAUAUGGUGAUGAUUUUAGUGGGUCACAAGAUGUUGGCAGUAGUUGGGUUUUGUAUUCUACAAAAUAUCAGCAGCUUGUUUUAUCUUCAGUUGCGGUGCUUUCACGUUAUCAUGAAUUGUGGUCAAACUGUA